This 468-nucleotide ribosomal RNA is filed under the name uncultured bacterium. Its description in RNAcentral is "partial 16S ribosomal RNA". It matches the Rfam family "Bacterial small subunit ribosomal RNA", at positions 28 to 507 of the family's 1533-position model. The record is from RNAcentral.
GACGAACGCUGGCGGCGUGCUUAACACAUGCAAGUCGAACGGAAAGGCCCUGCUUUUGUGGGGUGCUCGAGUGGCGCACGGGUGAGUAACACGUGAGUAACCUGCCCUUGACUUUGGGAUAACUUCAGGAAACUGGGGGUAAUACCGGAUAGGAGCUCCUGCUGCAUGGUGGGGGUUGGAAAGUUUCGGCGGUUGGGGAUGGACUCGCGGCUUAUCAGCUUGUUGGUGGGGUAGUGGCUUACCAAGGCUUUGACGGGUAGCCGGCCUGAGAGGGUGACCGGCCACAUUGGGGCUGCGGGACGGCGCAGACGCCUACGGGAGGCAGCAGUGGGGAGUAUUGCACAAUGGGCGGAAGCCUGAUGCAGCAGCGCCGCGUGCGGGAUGACGGCCUUCGGGUUGUAAACCGCUUUCGCCUGUGACGAAGCGUGAGUGACGGUAAUGGGUAAAGAAGCACCGGCUAACUACGUG